Molecule: ribosomal RNA, 442 nt
Filed under: uncultured bacterium
Lineage: Bacteria
Description: SSU rRNA
Rfam family: Bacterial small subunit ribosomal RNA
Source: RNAcentral
AGAGCGAACGCUGGCGGCAGGCCUAAUACAUGCAAGUCGAACGCACCUUCGGGUGAGUGGCGGACGGGUGAGUAACACGUGGGAACGUGCCCUUUGGUUCGGAAUAAUCCGGGGAAACCUGGCCUAAUACCGGAUGUGCCCUUCGGGGGAAAGAUUUAUCGCCAUUGGAGCGGCCCGCGUCUGAUUAGCUUGUUGGUGGGGUAAUGGCCCACCAAGGCUACGAUCAGUAGCUGGUCUGAGAGGAUGAUCAGCCACACUGGGACUGAGACACGGCCCAGACUCCUACGGGAGGCAGCAGUAGGGAAUCUUGCGCAAUGGGCGAAAGCCUGACGCAGCCAUGCCGCGUGAAUGAUGAAGGUCUUAGGAUUGUAAAAUUCUUUCAGCGGGAAGAUAAUGACUGUACCCGCAGAGAAGCUCCGGCUAACUUCGUGCCAGCAGCCGC